Molecule: non-coding RNA, 74 nt
Organism: Camelus ferus (Wild Bactrian camel)
Lineage: Eukaryota; Metazoa; Chordata; Mammalia; Artiodactyla; Camelidae
Source: Rfam
GGAGGGGACAGCUCAAGUGGUAGAGCGCAUGCUUAGCACGCACAAGGGCCUGGGUUCAAUCCCCAGUACCUCCU